CAGAAACAAGCCAGCACCUCAUACCUCAGCUGGAGCAGGGAAAGAAAGAGACUGCGGAGAGACGGACGAUGAAGGAGGAAGACAGGAAGUAGGCGGCCGCAGAUUGUGGACGCCAGCGAAAAGACACGCCAAGCAUCUCGUCUGGAGGCCUAUAAAUGAAGUGCAGAAAGCAGCACUCAUGCGCCAUAUGAUGCGUUGCAUGUAAGGCGGAAGAAAGUGAUACUUAGUGGCGUUUGGUGAGCAGGCUGAGUGGCGUUGGGAACACUAACUCGCCGUCUAACACGGGGUCAAAGCAUUACGGACCUCCAAACAACACCCAAAUGGUCUCGGUGAAACCAUUCAAACUAGGGUUGCUCGUGCAUGCAGUACUCCCGCCACCCUGCAGGGGGCAACAGUGAAGCAUUUGUGGGGUGAGUAGAAGAAGAUGGCGCUAUCGACCCUGAAAAAAAAAAUCUAAAUAAAUGGCGAAAAUGGGACUUUUAACAGCGACUGGACAACAAAGUAGGAAUGUUUUAGAAAUGCUGACUUUGAUGUUUUUUGUAUUCGUGGUCGUGUUAAAACUGGAUAAAUGCAUUCUUAAUUUGACCAGCAGAGGGCGAAAAAGCUACACAACAGCCCUUUGAGACACUUGUGAUUUAGGGCUAUAUAAAUAAACAUUUAUUGAUUGA
Molecule: long non-coding RNA, 668 nt
Organism: Entelurus aequoreus (snake pipefish)
Lineage: Eukaryota; Metazoa; Chordata; Actinopteri; Syngnathiformes; Syngnathidae
Exons: 2
Source: RefSeq, a predicted model, not a curated record